UGGGAUGAUGAAGGCUUGGGUCCCAGAAAAGCUGCAGUUUUUCAUCCAUGUAUACUGAAAGAGAUUUAAACUAUAUGUAAAUGACAGAGAUGUUGUAGCAGCCAUUGUACUAAACAACCAAGCCUACAGAUUGAAGCCUUCCCAUUACCUCAAUAGCUUAAAAUCCCUGCAUUGGCUCCCAAUAAAUUACAGGAUUUACCUUAAAGCACAUGUUCAUCAUUCACUAAAUGGGAUGAGGAUCAUCCAUACAAACUGCGCAGUCAGGUGCUUCUCAGUCGGACAGUGCCUAAAUGGAAUCACACCAGGGUUUAUUUAUCAGAUAAAAACAGCCAGAAGUAAAUGCCUUUAUUUCCUUGUAGCCUAUGAACCUACUAUCCUUUUGCUUUUAUUUAUGAGAAGCACAUACAGUAUUGCCACUGUAUGGAGGGCUACACUUGCCCUUAUCUACAGCUGGUUUACCAGUACACAACUUUUAAAACUGAGCAAAGUCGAUGGCAACAGACGGUUACAACAUCAAUCAAUAGUAAAGUGUAGACAUGGCAAAAAAUAUGUGAUAUGAUGGUUGAUUCUCUUAUAUUGAGUCAAACUUUCUCACCGUUCAAAACUUUUGCGUUGAGGUCCGACAUGGUCAUGCGCAUCACUAGUAUACAAUGAGUCACCAUACGUCACCAACUGGGCAACUCUGUUAACUAAAUUUGGCCCCAGUUGCCGAACGGAAGUAGAAUCAUAACAGCGUCAUGAGGUGGCGUUCACGUGAACUUUCCGACGUCGCGAAAAGGUUUUUCCCAUAAUUCCCAGCGAUGUGAACGCACGUGUAGACUGUGUGAGGAAGCUAUGACGCGCCGCCACACAUUGUGGCGGCGCGUCAUCAGCAGAAUCUCCCGAAAAUUAAUUAAUGACUAUAUCUAUUUCUGCAUUUGUUGUGUUGUUUGUGUAUCUGACCAGCUUCAAUAAAACAGCAAUGAGCAUUGGUUGGCAAAACUAUUUGGAGUUUGUGUGCAUAAUAAAAAAAUAAGACAUAGGCUAGCCUACAUUUUAUGACAUAAUAUCAGUUUAACAUUUAACACCGUAGGCCUAACCGAAGUCGAAGGGUCUGUAAAUGGACAAGCAACAAAAUAGUUCUUUUUUGGAUAUUUAAAUCGGUUUUGGGGCCAUUGACACCAAAAGUCCUCUAACACAAUGAAAAGGAAUUAUUUUGAGAUUAACAAACAAAAAUAACCACCAUUAAUUUAAUUAAUUAAUUAAUAUCUUAUUCUAUGCAUUAUCCGUUACAUAUUUGAAUGCCCUCUUUCAUGGAUAUGACACCACCAACACUGGGGCGUGGGAAUAAUUCUCCAUAUCCAUAUAGGUGGGGGGGCUACACUAGACAUAAAUAGGAAGCAAUGAUUCCAAAGACCAGGAAUAUUCAAUAAACAGUCAGUAAGAGGAAUGACCUCUGCCACAUGAUAACUUAAUGGAUUAUUUAAAAUAACCCUGCCUCGUUAAAUCAAUGAGCUUGAUGUUUUGCUUUCGCGAAUAGGUUAUAGGCUGUGUCACUACCACAUGUCCGUGCGCAUCUCUCAGAGUGACGUAAUCAGCCACCGGACAGCGAUUAAAAAAAAAAAAAGAGUCAUGUUGACUACUAAAGUAACUUAUUAAUUAUUAACCAUUUUCGUCGAUUCGAGGAGGUCUGGUGGUCUGUAUAUAAUAAAUAACUAAAUAAAUAUAUGUUUUUGAGAUCUGCUGAAAAAAACGGGGGAAAUCAGAGUAUCCCUAAUAGGGGAGAGCCGGGUCGAUUGAAACACUUUUCAGUUAAACGUCUUUUUCAAAGAUGAUGUUACGUAUACAAAUAAUUUUAACAUGUGAUCAACAACUCACAGGUGUGUUCUCUUAAUUACAAGUGAAAUUUAAUACAUAUGUUGGAUGAUUGAGCUGUUUUUUUUAACUUUGAACGUAAGUUGACAUUUGUUUCAAACGCCCCGCCUAGUCGGGACGUUUGAAACACACAUGCGGGACGAAUGAAACAGCAUAUUUUAAAAAUAAUCUAUUGCCCGACUACAUUUGCAUUAAAUUUACUUAUUUCCCUUUCCUAAGUCAUGUUUAAGGAUACACAGUUGAACAUCCUUUUAUUUAUUUUAAACGAAAACUACCAGGUCAACAGGAUAUCACGAGACCUGUUACAUCUGAAAUGUAUCCAAGCGCCGCACAGGGUUAAUUUAUUUUCGACACGCACAGCCCGGCGCACAGAAGCAUCCGAAGUCUCUGUGGACAGGUGACACAGGUAGUGUGCACUCCCGUCGGUGCAAGCCUCAUGCGACCACUUGUAGCAAAAGACACACUGGACCCACUCUUCCCCAGGCAUGGAGGCGCUGAAGAGCUCGCAGCACACGAGGCAGCUGACGUCCUCGCUGGAUAGGCCUAAAUAAAUUGGAGAAGUGGAGGCAGCAAUAGUGGUGAACUCUGCUGCCUCCGGAACAGGAUACACUAGGCCUAAGGUGGGGCUGCCUCCAUCAGCGGGCCAGGUGAUGGUGGGAGGAGCAGCUGAGGUGGCACCAGGUGUGACUCCAGCAAGGGGGGCGGCUUCAGGAGCGGGCGAGAAGAGCCUCUUCUUGGGAGCCCGAGAGGAGGGAGGCUGCUUGGCGGGACGACGCUGCUUCACAGUUCCCUGCUUUUCCGCCUCUAAAGCAGCCCUCACCGGGGUGUCCGUCCGGCCUUAGGGUAAGGCCGGACGAUGUCCGGGCUGAAUUCAACGGCAUCUCCCUCAGGCCGGACAGCUUCGUCUGGCCCGGCAGCUUCGUCAGGCCCGGCAGCUCGUUCAGUGGCACCUGGAGAAGCCCUGACCUCGUCAUCCGAAUUGGGGAGGAGGACGGUCUGUUGAAUAGGCUCUGGCGAAGUCCUUUUCCUCAAACGCAGAGGGGUUAAAAGGCCAGAUCCCUGGACUUGAGAACCCGGAGGUGAUGUUGUUCACUGUUGCAGCCUCUGGUAAGGCUUCAGCAACGAUGGAGGGCACAUCAUAAAUUGAGAUGUUGAUCCCUGGGUGGCUCCUCAUCCACCUGUCCGCCGCACUGUUUACGUACCCCUUUAGGGGGCCGAAGACACUAAUGUCCAUUGGCUGCAACCUGCGGGUGCAGUGGGGAGGGAAUGACAGCAGCACUAAAGGUGCGGCCACACCAGACGCGUAUCUCGCGUACUUUUUACGCGAGAUACGCGCGUAAAAUGUUGCAUGACCAUUUUGUGUCAAAAAUGGUCGCAUACGCGCCAUACGCGCCUACGUCACUCGCCUAGAUGAGCCCGCCCAAAACUUUCCCCCGCUCUCGUGGCAUGACACCAUCGUAUAGUGCAGUGCACAACAACCCCAAAACGGCUCUUUUAAGAGCCACCCACA
Molecule: long non-coding RNA, 3364 nt
Organism: Gadus chalcogrammus (walleye pollock)
Lineage: Eukaryota; Metazoa; Chordata; Actinopteri; Gadiformes; Gadidae
Exons: 4
Source: RefSeq, a predicted model, not a curated record